This 405-nucleotide ribosomal RNA is filed under the name uncultured bacterium. RNAcentral's name for it is "bacterial SSU rRNA". It matches the Rfam family "Bacterial small subunit ribosomal RNA", at positions 28 to 311 of the family's 1533-position model. The record is from RNAcentral.
GAUGAACGCUGGCGGCGUGCCUAAUACAUGCAAGUCGAGCGGUAACAGGCUCUCACAGUUUGCUUAAGUUCUUUGCCAAAAUAGCUCCGUAAGGAGGGAAAACUGUCAAAGAUGAUGAACCAUUUCGGAGGGCUAGGCUAGCCUGAAGGAAUGCGGGAGUUAUAUUAAGCGAAGUGUGAGAGUGCUGACGAGCGGCGGACGGCUGAGUAACACGUAGGAACGUACCCCAAAGUGAGGGAUAAGCACCAGAAAUGGUGUCUAAUACCGCAUGUGAUCUAUAGAUUGAUUUUUACGGAUUAAAGCUUUAUGCGCUUUGGGAACGGCCUGCGUAUGAUUAGAUUGUUGGUGAGGUAAUGGCUCACCAAGUCGACGAUCAUUAGCUGGUCUGAGAGGAUGAUCAGCCAG